Molecule: ribosomal RNA, 809 nt
Filed under: uncultured bacterium
Lineage: Bacteria
Description: bacterial SSU rRNA
Rfam family: Bacterial small subunit ribosomal RNA
Source: RNAcentral
AGAGUUUGAUCCUGGCUCAGGACGAACGCUGGCGGCAUGCCUAAUACAUGCAAGUCGAGCGAACAGAUGAAGUGCUUGCACUUCUGACGUUAGCGGCGAACGGGUGAGUAACACGUAAGGAAUCUACCUAUAAGCGGGGGAUAACAUUCGGAAACGGGUGCUAAUACCGCAUAAUAUCUUCUUCCGCAUGGAAGAAGAUUGAAAGACGGCUCUGCUGUCACUUAUAGAUGACCUUGCGGUGCAUUAGUUAGUUGGUGGGGUAACGGCCUACCAAGACGAUGAUGCAUAGCCGACUUGAGAGGGUGAUCGGCCACAUUGGGACUGAGACACGGCCCAAACUCCUACGGGAGGCAGCAGUAGGGAAUCUUCCGCAAUGGGCGAAAGCCUGACGGAGCAAUGCCGCGUGAGUGAAGAAGGCCUUCGGGUCGUAAAACUCUGUUAUAAGAGAAGAACAAAUUGUAGAGUAACUGCUACAGUCUUGACGGUAUCUUAUCAGAAAGCCACGGCUAACUACGUGCCAGCAGCCGCGGUAAUACGUAGGUGGCAAGCGUUGUCCGGAUUUAUUGGGCGUAAAGGGAGCGCAGGUGGUUUCUUAAGUCUGAUGUGAAAGCCCACGGCUUAACCGUGGAGGGUCAUUGGAAACUGGGAAACUUGAGUACAGAAGAGGAAUGUGGAACUCCAUGUGUAGCGGUGGAAUGCGUAGAUAUAUGGAAGAACACCAGUGGCGAAGGCGACAUUCUGGUCUGUUACUGACACUGAGGCUCGAAAGCGUGGGGAGCAACAGGAUUAGAUACCNUGGUAGUCCCCCC